This 253-nucleotide ribosomal RNA is filed under the name uncultured bacterium. RNAcentral's name for it is "partial 16S ribosomal RNA". It matches the Rfam family "Bacterial small subunit ribosomal RNA", at positions 524 to 776 of the family's 1533-position model. The record is from RNAcentral.
UACGUAGGGUGCAAGCGUUGUCCGGAUUUACUGGGCGUAAAGAGCGCGUAGGCGGCUCGUUAAGUGAGAAGUGAAAGCUGUGGGCUCAACCCACAAACCGCUUUUCAUACUGGCGAGCUGGAGUGAUGCAGAGGUGGAUAGAAUUCCUGGUGUAGCGGUGAAAUGCGUUGAUAUCAGGAGGAAUACCCGUGGCGAAGGCGGUCCACUGGGCAUCAACUGACGCUGAGGCGCGAAAGCGUGGGUAGCAAACAGG